GAUGAACGCUGGGGGCGUGCCUAAUAAAUGCAAGUCGAGCGAACAGACGAGGAGCUUGCUCCUUUGACGUUAGCGGCGGACGGGUGAGUAACACGUGGGUAACCUACCUAUAAGACUGGGAUAACUUCGGGAAACCGGAGCUAACACCGGAUAAUAUUUCGAACCGCAUGGUUCGAUAGUGAAAGAUGGCUUUGCUAUCACUUAUAGAUGGACCUGCGCCGUAUUAGCUAGUUGUUAAGGUAAAUGCUUACCAAGGCAACGAUCCGUAGCCGACCUGCGAGGGUGAUCGACCCCCCUAGAACUGAGCCACCGUCCCGACCCCUACGGAAGGCACCAUUAGGGACUCUGCCGCCAUGGGCGAACGCCUGACGUAGCCACGCCGCUUCUGUGACGAAGGUCUUCGGAUCGUAAGACUCUGUUAUUAGGGAAGAACAAACGUGAAAGUUACUGUGUACUUCAGGACGUUACCUAAUCAGAGAGCCACGGCUAGCCACGGC
RNAcentral lists this ribosomal RNA (497 nucleotides) under uncultured bacterium. RNAcentral describes it as "partial 16S ribosomal RNA". It matches the Rfam family "Bacterial small subunit ribosomal RNA", at positions 28 to 508 of the family's 1533-position model. The record is from RNAcentral.